GACGAACGCUGGCGGCGUGCUUAACACAUGCAAGUCGAACGGAAAGGCUCCAGCUUGCUGGAGUACUCGAGUGGCGAACGGGUGAGUAACACGUGGGUAAUCUGCCCUGCACUCUGGGAUAAGCCUGGGAAACUGGGUCUAAUACUGGAUAUGACCUUUCUCCUUAUGGGGUUUGGUGGAAAGUUUUUCGGUGUAGGAUGAGCCCGCGGCCUAUCAGCUUGUUGGUGGGGUGAUGGCCUACCAAGGCGACGACGGGUAGCCGGCCUGAGAGGGUGAUCGGCCACAUUGGGACUGAGAUACGGCCCAGACUCCUACGGGAGGCAGCAGUGGGGAAUAUUGCACAAUGGGCGGAAGCCUGAUGCAGCGACGCCGCGUGAGGGAUGACGGCCUUCGGGUUGUAAACCUCUUUCAGCAGGGACGAAGCGUAAGUGGCGGUACCUGCAGAAGAAGCACCGGCUAACUAUGUG
Molecule: ribosomal RNA, 467 nt
Filed under: uncultured bacterium
Lineage: Bacteria
Description: partial 16S ribosomal RNA
Rfam family: Bacterial small subunit ribosomal RNA
Source: RNAcentral